Mus musculus (house mouse) is the source of this 1273-nucleotide long non-coding RNA. RefSeq annotates it as predicted gene, 33354. Lineage: Eukaryota; Metazoa; Chordata; Mammalia; Rodentia; Muridae. The transcript is spliced from 3 exons. The record is from RefSeq and is marked validated.
CUAUGAGAGGCUACUGAUGAAGCCUAGUUACAGUGGAAGACGGCAGUGUUUUGGAGAUGCCAGUACCAUGAGAUGACCACCAAGAACAGCAGCAGCAGUGGAGUACAAGUAACUGGGGCCUAGAAGACAAGGUGUGUGCUAAAAAGGGCAGGGUUGGAGAAGUGACCCAAGCCCUUGGAGGAGCCUAGAAGAUCAUGAAUGGAUCCCAGACAUUGGAUGGUUGGAGUUAGAUUUUGCUUUUGAUUGUGACGGUGCCCUGAAAAUUUUCCAUCUUGGAGUAAGAAGGACACUCUAAGCUCCAUCUGAUGUUUAGUUAUGGGUCUCUGCAUCCAUGUCCAUCUACUGCUGGAUGAGCCUCUCAGAAGACAGACCUACAGCAUUCCCUGUGCUCAGAGGGGACACGGCUGCUUCAAAAAGGCAAAAGAUCCAGUGUAAAUAAUACUGCCACCUCAUGGUCUCAGAUGUUUCAGCCCAUGGUCUUCAGCUCCACUGACUCUGAUGAGGCAGAAGAACAACAUGGCGCCAAUGUUAAAGGCAGAAGCUCCUAACCUCAUACUGGCAGGAAACAAGAGCAAGGGAAAAGGUGACACUUUCCUACAUGUCCCCUUCCACCUCUAUGUCCUCUCCUUUCUAUUGCCCUGCUGGAGAGCAGGUAUCACCCAAUCAGAGACUACGGAAUUCUAGAGCUGUUGUUCACCACAAUUAUUUCCUUAAAAGCCUUCUUCUCCAAACUGACCACUCAGAACGAUUGGUCCUUUGUCACGUACACCAUAAUGACACCAUACUCUGUCACCACAACAUUGAAAACCUCAAAUGAGUCCUAGCUGGACUCCUGUGUGCCUAAAGAAAACAACCCUUUCAUUGGACUUAACUUGAAUUUGUGCCUUUCCCAUCUCUGCCAAAGAGCCUAUUCAUGUUUUAUAAGCAUGAGAUAGUUAAUAUGUGUACCAGGCACUAUCCUGUACCAUAACCCUCACAUGAUGACAAACUUUAAUACCAGUCUAUCAUUUCAGGAGCAAUAAAACUAAUGCAUUGAGUAGUUUGGCCUCAGGAGCCACUAUGACUCACAACUGUAUAGGGAUUAAGCCAGAAUCUUCCAACCUUACAUCAUGUUCUUACAAUAACAGAGAAUCAUCAUGUCAGCCUUAAAUCAGGAAUAGAAGUCAGCUAGUCACUCAUGACAUAUAGAUGUCAAGUCAAUAAGCAUGUUUAUGUGCAGCACCCAACAGGUCUCUAUGUGGAACCGUCUCUUCAGGUGCAAUAAAAAACAAAG